CUGCAGUGGGGAAUUUUGCACAAUGGGCGCAAGCCUUUCUUCUUGGCUCGCACCUCUCCGCGGGAGCGACCCUUCUGGCUGUAAAGAGCUCUAUCGCCCGGGUAGAAACCGCAUUUCUGUCAAUACCUUUGUCUUGGAUGGCCGCUCGACGUG
Molecule: ribosomal RNA, 153 nt
Filed under: uncultured bacterium
Lineage: Bacteria
Description: partial 16S ribosomal RNA
Source: RNAcentral